CCUACGGGCGGCAGCAGUGGGGAAUAUUGCACAAUGGGGGGAACCCUGAUGCAGCGACGCCACGUGGGUGAAGGAGUAUUUCUGUAUGUAACGCCCUAUCAGCAGGGAAGAACAAUGACGGUAGCUGCCUAAGAAGCACCGGCUAAAGACGUGCCAGCAGCCGCGGUAAUACGUAUGGUGCAAGCCUUAUCCGGAUUUACGGGGGGUAAAGGGAGCGCAGGCGGCUCGUUAAGCCUGGUGUGAAAGUCCGUGGCCCAACCGCGGGACUGCAUUGUGAACUGGCCCGAUGGAGUGCCGGAGUGGUAGGCGGAAUUCCUAGUGUAGCGGUGAAAUGCGUAGAUAUUAGGAGGAACACCAGUGGCGAAGGCGGCCUACUGGACGGUGACUGACGCUGAGGCUCGAAAGCGUGGGGAGCAAACAGGAUUAGAUACCCGUGUAGUC
Molecule: ribosomal RNA, 441 nt
Filed under: uncultured bacterium
Lineage: Bacteria
Description: partial 16S ribosomal RNA
Rfam family: Bacterial small subunit ribosomal RNA
Source: RNAcentral